This is a small nucleolar RNA of Juglans microcarpa x Juglans regia, 88 nucleotides long. RefSeq annotates it as small nucleolar RNA snoR114. The record is from RefSeq and is a predicted model, not a curated record. The transcript has a single exon. Lineage: Eukaryota; Viridiplantae; Streptophyta; Magnoliopsida; Fagales; Juglandaceae.
GAGCGAUGAUGAAAUACGUGCUUGCAUGUGAUGGUUGGGUCCAUCACCGACGUCUGAUUACAAGACGAAAGGUAGCACAUCUGAGCUC